AGUGUCACUGGCUGCAGGCCCCGCUCUCCACAGCACCAACACAAUUCGUUCCCCUCACCAUGACACAAAACCACCACAAUGUCCUCCCCACCACGGCAUCACCACAAUGUCCUCCCCCCACCACGACACCACCACAGUGUCCUCCCCCCACCACGACAUCACAGUGUCCUCCCCCACCACGGCACCACCACAGUGUCCUCCUCCCCCCACCACAACAUCACCACAGUGUCCUCCCCCCACCACUUAGACAUCACCUCACAGUAACUCCUCCCCCACCAUGUGACACCACCACAGUGUCCUCCCCACCACUUGCACCACCACAGUGUUCCUCCCCACCACGACAUCACCACAGUGUCCUCCCCCCACCACGACAUCACCACAAUGUCCUCCCCCCACCACACUUACCACAAUGUUCCUCUUAAUUAAUUUACACUACUACUACUGUCUGCCCCCCACCACUCCACACCACCACCAGCCAAUGUCCCCCCACCACGACAUCACCACAAUGUCCUCCCC
Molecule: long non-coding RNA, 516 nt
Filed under: Papio anubis (olive baboon)
Lineage: Eukaryota; Metazoa; Chordata; Mammalia; Primates; Cercopithecidae
Description: lncRNA (ENSPANG00000042972.1)
Source: RNAcentral